CUCAUCUUCGGUCUCUGGGUUUCCUUUUUUCUGCCCCUGAGGUUCCGCGUGUUUAUAAAGCACAGAGGUUGCGUCACGGAGACGCACCUCAGCUCCUCUAUAAAAGGGCUGAGACUCUCUUUCCUCCUUACGCAUCUGCUGUCUCCUGAUCCGGUAAGGUUUUCUUCUGAUUGCCCAUUAGAUCUGGUCCCGCUCCGAUCUUCUAGAGAUUGGAGGCGGUCUUCAUUCUCUCUGAACGGAAGAGUGCAUAAAAUAGGGCUCUUCUGCUUCCGAGUCUUCUCUCUUGUGGCGAUUUAGAGGUUGCGUCACGGAGACGCAGCUCAGCUCCUCUAUAAAAGCGCUGAGACUCUCUUCCCUCCUUCCGCCUCUGCCGUCUCCUGAUCCGGUAAGGUUUUGUUUUCGAUUGCCCAUUAGAUCUGGUCCCGCUCCGAUCUUCUAGAGAUUGGAGGCGGUCUUCAUUCUCUCUGAACAGAAGAGUGCAGAAAAUAGGGCUCUUCUACUUCUGAGUCUUCUCUUUCGCGGCGAUUUAGAGGUUGCGUCGCGGAGAGGCAGCUCAGCUCCUCUAUAAAAGCGCUGAGACUCUCUUUCCUCCUUCCGCCUCUUCUGUCUCCUGAUCCGGUAAGGUUUUCUUUCGAUUGCCCAUUAGAUCUGGUCCCGCUCCGAUCUUCUAGAGAUUGGAGGCGGUCUUCGUUCUCUCUGAAGGGAAGAGUGCAGAAAAUGGGGCUCUUCUACUUCCGAGUCUUCUCUCUUGCGGCGAUUUAGAGGUUGCGUCACGGAGACGCAGCUCAGCUCCUCUAUAAAAGCGCUGAGACUCUCUUUCCUCCUUCCGCCUCUGCCGUAUCCUGAUCCGGUAAGGUUUUCUUUUUGAUUGCCCAUCGGAUCUGGUCCCGCUCCGAUCUUCUAGAGAUUGAGGCGGUCUUCAUUCUCUCUGAACGGAAGAGUGCAGAAAAAGGGGCUCUUCUACUUCUGAGUCUUCUCUCUUGUGGCGAUUUAAAGGUUGCGUCACGGAGACGCACCUCAGCUCCUCUAUAAAAGCGCUGAGACUCUCUUUCCUCCUUCCGCCUCUGCCGUCUCCUGAUCCGGCCGAAAAUGCUAAAUUACCCUCAUCCUGCUGUAUAAUUGUCUCAGGAUUGCUCUGUUGGGCUCUUAUAAAGCAAUGGAUCCAAAUGUUGCACGAGCUGUUGAGUAAUUUCCAACUGGUUUUGGUGAUUUGCUUUUAUUAGUUGAGAUAAAAAAAUAAAACGAAUUAUUAAUUAUUAAUUUGGUUUCGGCAUUUAUAAAAAAAAAAAGUUUGUAUUUGAAAAAUAUUUUUGUAGUUAGACGAGCAAAGAAGAAAAAUGUUUUUGAUAAUAGUUAAAUUCAAAAUUUAAAAUAAAAAAUCACACUCAAUACAUCUUGGUGCUGGAUUCAAAUAUUUUCUUUCGAAAAAAGAAACUUACGUACGUGUAUUAAUAUCGGUGCCUGUGCGCAUUUACAAAAUUUUUACGAGUCUGCUAGAUUCAAAUAAUGUAUCGUUCUUGUUUCUCUCACGCUUUUUGGUUGUAUUUGAGCAAUAAUUUGUCAGAGGCAGCAAGCCAGAUCUGGAAAUAUGGCAAGUUUUUAGAAAUUGGUGCUGCGCGUUUAAUCAUCUUUAACCAACAAGAUCUUAUGCUGGUUUUCAGGUAAUUCUCUUUUGUUUCGCUCCCUUUCAAUCUUCUUUAAGAUCUCAGAAUGGAAGUCCCCAGCUUCCUAUCUCUUAGUCUCCUCUUAAACCUGAAGGUCAUUAUUUUUGGCCCGUCCAACAGUUAUGUUGCAGUCAAGAGAAAGGUUUCCAGGAUAUGCUUGAGAUGCUUGCCUCGUACAAGGAGGGGGUGUGUACCAUGUGGGAACCGUGUUCCCAUAAUCUUGAUUCUGUCCGGUUCCAUCCAAAGUGCAUAAAGAAACCUAGUUCCCACGCUGGAAACUGAUAACAGUGCUCGGUAUUUUAUGUUUAUUACCAGUUAUUGUUAAUUUAUUGCGCGACUUUCAUGGGAGUUGUAUCAAUAUGUCUUGAUCCCUUUUCUUGUUCUUUGAUUUACCGGGACCAUAUUCUGAAAAUAUUGUAAUCGUCGCUCGGUAAGGGUAUGGAUUGCUGGUUCAAGAGGUUUGCAAUAUCUAUUUACACUCGUAUCACUUGGUGCUGGAUUCAUAUGUUUUUCUUCUGUAUUAAAAAGUUACGUAUGUGUAUUAAUAUUGGUACCGAGGGGGCACUGCGCACUUACAAAAUUUUUACAAGUCCGCUGGAUUAAAAUAAUGUGACGUGCUUUGUUCCUCUCGGCGCUUUUUGCUUGUAUUUGAGCAAUCAUUUGUUAGAGGCAGCCAGGCCAGAUCUGAAAAUAUGGCAAGUUUUUAGAAAUUGAUGCUGCGCCUUUUAGUUGCCAACACGUUCUUAUGUUGGUUUUCAGGUAAUUCUCUUUUGUUUCACUCCCUUUUAUUCGUCUUUAAGAUCUCGGAAUGGAAGUCCUCAGCUUCCUUGUCCCCCGCAUCUUUGAGUCUCAUCUUAAAGCUGAAGGUCAUUAUUUUUGGCCUGUCCAGCAGUUUUGUUGUGGUUGAGAGAAAGGUUUAAAGGAUGCAUGAGAUGCUUGCCUCGUACAAGGGUGUCUAUUAUGUGGGAACCGUGUUCCCAAAAUCUUGAUUCCGUCUGGUCCAUAGUCCCUGCAAAGUCAUUCCAUCCAAAGUGCAUAAAGAAACAUAGUUCCCACGUUGGAAACUAAUAGUGUUGUUCCUUUCGACUUUUGUUACCAGUUUAUUUUUUGUUUGAUGUUCGCGGGAGUUGUAUCAGUAUGUCUUGAUCCCUUUUCUUGUUUUUUGAUUUACAGGGACCAUAUUCUGACAAUAUUAUAACGCUCGCUCGGUAAGGGUGUGGAUUGCUGGUUCGAGAGGUACGCGACAUCUCUAUUUACACUCGUAUCACUUGGUGCUGGAUUCAAAUAUUUCUCUUUGGAAGUAAAAGUUACGUAUUUUUUUAAUGUUGGUACCAAAGGGGUACUGCUGCGCAUUACAAAAAUUUCUACAAGUCUGCUAGAUUCAAAUAAUAUUUCUCUCACGCUUUUUGGUUGUAUUUGAGCAAUAAUUUGUCAGAGGCGGCAGGCCAGAUCGGGAAAUAUGGCAACUUUUUAGAAAUUGAUGCUGCGCGUUUACUUUACCAACAAGUUCUUAUGUUGGUUUUCAGGUAAUUCUCUUCCGCCCCGCUCCCUUUUAAUCAUCUUUAAUAUCUCAGCAUGGAAGUCCUCAGCUUCCUUGCCCCCCGGGCCCCACUUCUUUUAGUCUGCUCUUAAAGCUGGAGGUCAUUUUUUUUUGACGUUUGUUGUAGUCAAGAGAAAGGUUUCUAGGAUGCAUGAGAUGCUUGCCUCGUACUAGGGUGUCUUUUAUGUGGGAACCAUGUUCCCGUAAUCUUGGUUCUGUCUAUGGUUCGUAGUCCCAUAUGAACGAGGAUGCUGUGUUCUCGGGAUUUUUAUCUGAUGCGAGAAAGGUCGUCAUUCUUUAUUUCGAAGCCACAUUAGAUUGAUUUUGUGUCCCGGUAAAAGUGCCCUACUUUAUUUUAUUGAAAGUGAGAGUAAAUUGAUUUAUUGUUUCAAAAUAAAUUUGCGUCCGUGUUUAAUGGAAAAUUUUACGAUUUCUUCGGAGAAAGUAGAAUUCCCCAUGUCCUUCGGGUAGUUGGAACUUAAAAAGAAUGUGCUUGGAUCUUCUAACAGCAAGUAAAUAUUUUUGGGCAUUGUUUUAAGGUUCUUGCUUCCUUUGGUAGAAAAUAAUUUUUUAUGGUGUUCCGGUCCUGAAUUAUUGCUCAGAAACUGAAAGCAUGUUUUGUAAAUCUUUUAAAAAAUAAAUGAGCUUGAUGAACAAGAAAAUUUCCCAUUCUUGAGAAAACAAAAAAUGUUCCCUGGUCCCCCGGGUAGCACCAACUGUGAGAAAAUGUGUCUUGAGCAUUUUGAUUCCUAGUAAAUAUGUUUAUGUGUGUCGCUUCGGCAGUGAAAGCUAUCGUGAUGGGCACCCUUUCUCUCUUAGACGUUGCAAUUGGAUUUUCUAGUAUUUGAUAACCAUUUACAAAAGAUAUGUAUGCUCGGUUUUUGGAACUUUCAGAUGUAGUUUAUUGGAGAAAUGUUGUUGGUAUGUGUUUUGAAGCUUCAUUCAUGAAAUAUAGUUGGUGAAGGAUCAUUGUGGGCCGGGUCUCUUGAGUAGAAAACAUUAUUUCUGCAGCCCUUGCAUGCACGAUGAAUGUUUUAUCUGAGAUUCUCGGUCCAAAAUGUAAGAGCUUCAAUUCCAUAUUAACUACAUUUCAGUCCCAAAAUACUAGGGAAGCCAAUAUUUCAUUUUGAAAGUUAAAGGGUGUUGAUGUGUGUUUUGAAGCUUCAUACAUGAAAUAUAGCCGGUGAAGGAUCACUGUUGGCCGGGUCUCUUGAGUAGAAAACAGUAUUUGUGCAGCCCCUGCAUUCACAAUGAAUGUUUUAUUUGAGAUUCUCGGUCCAAAAUGUAAGAGCUUCAAUUCCAUAGUAACUACCUUUUCAGUCCCAAAAUACCAGGAAAGCCAAUAUUUCAUUUUGAAAGUUAAAGGUUGCUGAUGUGUGUUUUGAAGCUUCAUUUAUGAAAUAUAGUUGGUGAAGGAUCAUUAUUGGCCGGGUCUCUUGAGUAGAAAACAUUAUUUCUGCAGCCCGUGCAUUCGAAAUGAAUGCUCUAUUUGAGAUUCUCGGUCCAAAAUGUAAGAGCUUCAAUUCCAUAUUAACUUACUUUCAGGCCACAAAAAUCUAGGACAGGCAAUAUUUCAUUUUGAACGUUAAAGGUUGUUGCUGUGUGUUUUGAAGCUUCAUUUAUGAAAUAUAGUUGGUGAAGGAUCAAAAUUGGCCGGGUCUCUUUGAGUAGAAAACAUUAUUUGUGCAGCCCUUGCAUUCACAAUGAAUGUUUUAUUUGAGAUUCUGGGUCCAAAAUGUAAGAGGUUCAAUUCCAUAUUAACUACCCUUUAGUCCUAGGAAAGGCAAUAUUUCAUUUUGAAAGUGGAAGUUUUUGUCGAUAUUUCAAAACAAACUUAUGUGCCUCGGUGCAUGAGAACGUGAAUCUUGAUUUUUUGUGGCAAAAUGAAACUGCUUGCAACCCUCAAGAUGUACAGCCUCAAAAAGAUGUGGCUUAAAAUCUCAAGCCAAAGUUUGGGUGCGUCGGUUUGAAAGUGAGAGUUUCUUUGAUCACGCACUUUCUUUUGGAGAGUUAGGCGACGUUUCACUUAGUGGUGGCAAUAUGCUCUCCCAAUCUAUUUUUAGCGCGGACAGAAAAAGUUUCGUGCUAGGUUAUGGGAAUCGUCAUUAUACGUGGAAGAGGUUGCCGUUCUUUAUUUUGAAGCCACAUCGAUAAUCUAGUUGCAGCGUUUUUCCUCUGUAGAGGUGCCCCGAUUCGAUAUUUUGAAACCGACACUGUAUUUACUGAUUCUUUUAAAAUAAGUGUGCCCCUCGGUAUUCAAGCAGAAGUUUCUCUGUUUUUUGGGGAAGAGUAAAAUUGCUCUGUUCUCUUGGUUGGUUGGAACAUAGAAAGCAAUAUGUUUGGAUCUUUUGAUUGCAAGUAAAUAUUUUUUCGGCACGUGGUUUUAAAGCUUUUUGGCUUUUGUUAAAGAAUAGUUUUUUUAAAAAAAUAUAUAUACAAAAGAAUAGUUUCCUGUUUUGGAAGUUUCCUGGUUUGGGAAGUAAAUGAGACUCAAUUUAUACUUUAAAACCUAAAAGCUGUUUUUAUGCAUUAUUUAUGGAUAAAUGUGUGACUUGAUGCACAAGAAAAUGAAUUUUGAUUUCUUGGGGCAAUGUAAAUCUGCUUGGGUCUCUCUCGCAGUUCCAAGUUUUAGAAAAACUUGCAUUGACAAAGAUUUGAGGAUAUUGUGACAGCACCACUUCUGACACGGUAACUUGCUUUCAAUAUUUAGUUUACGUAAGGCAUACGAGAUGUGUUUUGAAGGUUUUGAAACCCAUGGUCUGUUGCUGCGAAAAUAUAUCAUUCGGAGUCCCGUAUUCAGAAAGUAAAAGGCCUCGAUUAAUCUUUUCGAAAGCUAGCCUGUCCAUUUAUUUUUUGAAAACGAUUUUUUUUGUUGGUCCCCUGAGCAAAUGUUCCUCAAUUUUUUGGGGCAAUGUGAGAUUUUGCAAAAUGUCCCUUGGAUAAUUCUUUCUCUAGCAAAAUGUCCCUUGAUCUUUUAGUUGGAAGUAACUAUUCUUUGCUAUGUUGGUUUAAUUAAAGUUUCUCUUGAUCUUUUGCUUUCGAAAUAAAUCUGCAGGUGUCCCCACAGGGAAAUUGUAGCAGUUGGAAAAGUAAGUGGAGGUCAAGUAAUUUUUUUAGAAACUGAAGGCGUGUUCUAUCGAUUAUUUUGAAAGAUAAGUGUGCCUUGGUGCAAAAGAAAAUGACUUUGGAUUUGCUGCAGCAAAGCAAAACUUUUUUGAUGCCCUGGGUUUUCGGAACUCUAAAAGUUGUGGUUUGGACUCUUGAUUCAAAGUAAGUGUUUUUGAGAAUACGUUGGUUUAAAGGAAAAGUAACUCUGAUAACAAACACCCUUUCUCUUGGAGAGUUGGCAGCCUUUCUCUACGUAACUGGCAGUGUGCUUUCUCAAUCAUUUUAUUGCUACGGGCGUAAGACAUGAUUGCUCGGUUAAAGGAGAUAUUCAUUUUAUUUGAGAAAGGCCUUCGUUCUUGAUUUGGGAGCCAAUUUAAUGAACUUCAGUAAAAGUGGGCGAAUUCAUUGACUCGCAAAUGAGAGUGCUUUGGUUUAUUGUUUCAAAAUAAAUGUACUUUGACUCCUAGGCAACGGUUUUUUAAAUUUCUCGGGAAAAAGUAAAAUUCAACCCGUCGCUCGGCCAGUUGGAGCUCAAAAAAAGCAUGCAUGUAUGCUGAAUUUGUCUUGGUUCUAAUCAUUGUUCUAAUGUAGGUCUUCAAAAAAUUGACCGAGAAAACUAUUUGAGAGAACCAAACCUUCGAAGUCUAUCGGACCCAAAGUGUAGUAGUCUAACCAAACUUCAGACCUUGUGGGAUCUUUUCUCUGUUUUCCUUUUUUUUUUUAAAGCAAUAUCUGUGGUUAAAAGAGAUUGGUACGUUUAACAUGCAAGGCAACUACGGAGCCUGGCGUAACCGCGUCAAUAUUAUGUUGCUGACUUUUCUUUGCUGUAGGUACUUAGUGGGAAACUUGUUUAAGCGGAAAGAACGGAGUUUGUUCCAGUGGCUAUCUACACAAACAACGUGUGCUACGCGGAAUGUGAGUAUUAUGUUACCCUGGAUUGUCUUGAAAAUAUUUCUCUCGCUUUUACUUUGUUUAAGAAACAUUUGUAGUUGUACAAAAUUAACGUUUAGAACAUGCGAGACGGUUAAAAAGCUACAGAUAACAGGGUAUGCUCAUUUUGCCAGCCUUUCCUUGGUGCAGCAAAUUGGAGCGAGGGUGAAGCCUUCCUAAGUGUAGAGCUACAGAUUGAAGGUUUUUGGACCCUACUUUAUUUAAUUUAAUAGUGGAACUUAUCCUUCUUGGAAAAUAGUAAAAGAGGCAAUCGGACCUGCUUUGUUGUUGUUUACUAGAGACGUGUUACUGAAAGGAACAAAUGAGGUUUCUUCCCAUUGCUGGUUGUGCAGGUGACGAGUGCGGCUGCGUGGCUUCUGAGUGUGAUUUUACUCCGUGUACAUUAUCAGGGAAUGGAGUUUUUACUCUUACCGAGUUUUAUUUUAUAGGGUUGUCGUCCCCGUAUUUGUAUCUGCAAUUUGUGUAGUGUUGGAACGGAAGUUUAUGGCUUGAACUUCCAUUUUGGUGGAUAUUCAACUUGGGAAAUAAGUCAUUUAGCGUGGUCCAGUUCCAGUGGAGUUCAUAGCAACCAUGUUGGCUCUUAACAAGCGGACUGAUCCGUUGAAUUACUUGCAAAUUUUGUGCUUGACUAGGGAUCUUUUGUUGAUAAAUAGAUCUUCCUAAGUGUUGGUUUGUAGUUAAUUUGAUUUUUUACCCACAAGUAGUCUUGUUCUUUUUAUCUUCGGUAUUAAACCCCUUGUUUCCUUGGAGAAGCAGCUGUUUUUGUUUCUAUUCGUGUCGUUUUGUUUACUUAGGCUCCUGUACAGUUUGCAAUUUUUUUUUGGGGCUUCAAAUGAUGAUCCAAUGUAGUGGUAAUUCGUACUGUUUCUGUUGCAAAAUGAGGAGUCAGUAUUCUGCAUAUUAGCAAAUGAUUAUUUAUACUUUGUGAUGCUCUUGGAAGUCCUUUAACCAUGGCUUGAUCCUUGUUCGUGUCUCUCUGAUUUGUGGGCGCGGCUAAAUGAUAUCCUUGGUGCAGGUGAAGUUUGUGAUUGUUAUUUGAAGAGGUACCCAAUAUCUGGCCAUUCUUCGCUGUUGUUUUCUUUCUUGCUACAUGUCAUUUUCACAGGUGCAGCUAUUUUUAUUCCAUAUUCGUCUUAUUGUUGGGCAGUGAUGCGGAGAUUGUGGCGGGGGAAGUGAUGCGGAGGGUAAAGAGAAGGAAGCUGAGAAGGUUGGUGUGGAAUAUCAUCAUCAGCCAAAACCAGGUGAUUUUGUGGUUUCUGGCAACGAAAAUAAGCUCGGUGUGAAUAUUGGAUCAGAAUUGUUGGGCACCAGGUUGACAAAGGGGGUUCUGCCCCAGGGAGAUGUGAUUUGAAAAAUGAUGCAGAGGAGGAGUUCGUGGUUUGUGGGAAGAUGAGAAUUGUCAAGGACUGGGAAGGCCAGUUGUGGAGACUGGGAACUGUCCUUUUUGCUGAGGUUCUUGGCAGAACCCUAACCGGUGAAGCUGUACAGGUGCUUGGUGGAGCAGACAACUCGCCACGCACCCGUCUGUGUGGAUUUGUCAGAGAAGGAAUAGAAAUUGAAAGGAAAAUUUGUAAGUAUUAUUUACGAGGAUUAAGAGAAUAAAUAAUUUAAAAUUAGAUAACAGUUUAAAAAAUUUUAAUAGAAUAUAUUUGUAGAUAUAAAUUUUUUUUAAUAAUACGCGUAUUAUUUAAUAAAUUUUUUAGAAAAAAGAAUUAUUAAAAAUUGUAUUGUAAUUAAGAGUGUUUAUUUUAUUGUGGUUUUUUAUUAUAAUAUUUGUAUUUAGAAAAAAUAUUUUUGUCGUUGGGUGAGUAAAAUAUAAAAUGUUUUUGAUAAUAGUUAAAUUGAAAAUUUAUUUUUUUAUAAAUUUAAAAUAAAAAAUUACAAAAGUAACAUGAAUUUUUAUUAAAAAUAAAUGUUAUUAUUAUUGUAUAAAUAAUAACAUAUUUUCACAAUUAUUUAUAAAAAUAUUUUUAAUGGAAAACUCAGUAAGGCAAUAAAAAAAAUAUUAUCUUUUUAAUUUUCUCUCUCUGCCGCUCUUCAUCUUCGGUCUCUGGUUUUCCUUUUUUCUACCCGAGGUUCCGCGUGUUUAUAAAGCACGUAGGUUGCGUCGCGGAGACGCAGCUCAGCUCCUCUAUAAAAGUGCUGAGACUUUCUUUCCUCCUUCCGCCUCUGCUGUCUCCUGAUCCGGUAAGGUUUUCUUCUGAUUGCCCAUUAGAUCUGGUCCCGCUCCGAUCUUCUAGAGAUUGGAGGCGGUCUUCAUUCUCUCUGAACGGAAGAGUGCAGAAAAUAGGGCUCUUCUGCUUCCGAGUCUUCUCUCUUGUGGCGAUUUAGAGGUUGCGUCACGGAGACGCAGCUCAGCUCCUCUAUAAAAGCGCUGAGACUCUCUUUCCUCCUUCCGCCUCUGCCGUCUCCUGAUCCGGUAAGGUUUUCUUUUUGAUUGCCCAUUAGAUCUGGUCCCGCUCCGAUCUUCUAGAGAUUGGAGGCGGUCUUCAUUCUCUCUGAACAGAAGAGUGCAGAAAAUAGGGCUCUUCUACUUCGGAGUCUUCUCUUUUGCGGCGAUUUAGAGGUUGCGUCGCGGAGAGGCAGCUCAGCUCCUCUAUAAAAGCGCUGAGACUCUCUUUCCCCCUUCCGCCUCUUCUGUCUCCUGAUCCGGUAAGGUUUUCUUUCGAUUGCCCAUUAGAUCUGGUCCCGCUCCGAUCUUCUAGAGAUUGGAGGCGGUCUUCAUUUUUUCUGAACGGAAGAGUGCAGAAAUUGGGGCUCUUCUACUUCCGAGUCUUCUCUCUUGCGGCGAUUUAGAGGUUGCGUCACGGAGACGCAGCUCAGCUCCUCUAUAAAAGCGCUGAGACUCUCUUUCCUCCUUCCGCCUCUGCCGUCUCCUGAUCCGCUAAGGUUUUCUUUUUGAUUGCCCAUUAGAUCUGGUCCCGCUCCGAUCUUCUAGAGAUUGGAGGCGGUCUUCAUUCUCUCUGAACGGAAGAGUGCAGAAAAUAGGGCUCUUCUACUUCCGAGUCUUCUCUCUUGCGGCGAUUUAGAGGUUGCGUCACGGAGACGCAGCUCAGCUCCUCUAUAAAAGCGCUGAGACUCUCUUUCCUCCUUCCGCCUCUGCCGUCUCCUGAUCCGCUAAGGUUUUCUUUUUGAUUGCCCAUUAGAUCUGGUCCCGCUCCGAUCUUCUAGAGAUUGGAGGCGGUCUUCAUUCUCUCUGAACGGAAGAGUGCAGAAAAUGGGGCUCUUCUACUCCUGAGUCUUCUCUCUUGUGGCGAUUUAGGGUUUUCCUCAGCUUCUUCUAGGUUCUAAUCGGUGAAGAGAGACGGAAGAACAGAGUUGAAGAGGGUAGGUGAAAGGAAGAGACAAUAAUUUGUAAGAGGUAUGUAUGUGUUAAUUUCUCUUAUGGAUUUGUGAGGAAUGUAUGCCUAAACGAUAAAGAGUUCCACCCGGAAAGUUUUCUGUGUUGUUCACAGUUUUGUCACCGAAGCACUAAAAUAUUUUACAAAGAGGAAAAACUCUCUCAGUGUUACGUUUAUUACCCGUUAUUGUUGAUUUACUGUGCGAUGUUCGUGGGAGCUGUAUCGAUGUGUCUUGAUCCCUCUUGUUUUUCCCUGAUUUACAGGGACCACAGUCUGACAAUAUUGUAAUCCUCGUUGAGUAAGGGUAUGGAUUGCUGGUUCAAGAGGGUAUGCAAUAUCUGUUUACACUCACACCUCUUGGUGCGGGUUCAAGAGGUAUGCUUGCCUCGAACAUGUGGUUGAACGGUAUCUUGGCCCAUUUUGAUGCUUUGAAAUGUUUAAUUUAAAUUUUACUACAUCCCUUCAGGGGUCAUAAAAUGAAGGGUAAAUGCAAAAAUAAAACCAAAUAUAAGGUGGAGGUUUUUAGAUUUUCGACUGAAUCACAAUUGAGUUGUUGGGUUUAACAAAAUUAUAAUUCAAUUUAGCCAAGUGUGAUCGGCUGAAAAUGCUAAAUUACCCUCAGCCUGCUGUGUAAUUGUUUCAGUAUUACUCUGUUGGGCUCUUAUAAAGCAAUGGAUCCAAAUGUUGC
Molecule: long non-coding RNA, 11292 nt
Filed under: Carica papaya (papaya)
Lineage: Eukaryota; Viridiplantae; Streptophyta; Magnoliopsida; Brassicales; Caricaceae
Description: long non-coding RNA (CPAP_LNC010552)
Source: RNAcentral